RNAcentral lists this long non-coding RNA (2831 nucleotides) under Sus scrofa (pig). Its description in RNAcentral is "lncRNA (ENSSSCG00060078794.1)". The record is from RNAcentral. Lineage: Eukaryota; Metazoa; Chordata; Mammalia; Artiodactyla; Suidae.
UUUUUUUUUUUUUUCCUUAAAUUUUAUUUUGAAAUAUUUUGCAAACUAAUCUGGCGUGUGGUAGAUGAGGAUUUAAUAGAUCUUAGUGUCAAAGUAAUAAUAAAAGUUCUGUCAUUGCCCUCAAGAACCCUACCAUCUCAGAAGGAAGGCAGUGCUCUGAGAAUGUUAGCAGGCCAUCCUGGCACUCAGAAAUAGUGGGGUGCUGGCAAGGGGCCGGGAGUGCUGAGUGAUAGGGGGAGCCCAGGUCAGCACACAGGUAAGAGAACAUCCCAGCCUGGACUGCAGAGAGCGAGGGUGGUCAGGCAAGCUCUCCUUUCACUCCGAGACUGGAAGGAUGAGGGCGCCUACCAGGAUGAAGAAAGGAGAGGGAGGAAUGAAGGAUGCAGGCAGCGUGCACGGUACCCAGGACGCGCGAGCUGACCUGGGGAUGGCAUCUCCAGCCGCACGUGGUCACAGCAGCUGGCUGGCCUGGGCCAGCUCAGGGGAGUGAGUGCCCCUGGGUGUCUCCUUCGGGGACAAGUUAGAAAAGAAGGCAAUUAGGACAUGCUCCCUGACCUCGAGAAGCCUUCGAGCCUGUAGAGGACGCCGAUGGAAAAGUAGCCGAGUGUUCUGUGGCACAGAAUGUCCAGACAUGGCAUCAUCUACUGGGCUGCCCAGAAGACAGCUGGGAAACACAUUGCAGGAGGGUUCCCAGAGCAAAAGACCCCUGGGCGGAAGCUUGAAGGCAGUUCCAGGCAGCAGCAUGAACCUGAGUUGCUGGUAUGUGUAAAGGGCUUGAGGCCAGCCCUUCAGACACAGAGGCCGCCCUGUGUCUGAGCUGCUCCUAAGGUGCUCCGUCCAGCUCCUCCUGAGCCAAGGUGUUUGGGUGCAGCCUCCAAGCAGAGAGGUUCUUCUCAAACUGACCGGGCGGUGACCCAAAGCAGCCCCGGGGACAGCGCCCCGGCCCCACCAGCCAUUUUUCCACUCUGGCCUUUUUCUUCGUGUGGACGCAGCCCAUUUUCUGGAUAAGAACCUGCUGCGUAAGACCAUUCUUGCUCACGCGCCCCUCAGCAUGUGCAAACCAGCAACCGCAGAUAGAUCCCAGAUGGCGUUUUCCUGCUCUCGCAAACCUUGAAGUGGGCCCUGCCCGCGGGCACACCUGCCAAGGAAAAUGCUGUCCUCGAAAUGUUCCUGGCACCGUGUUCAAGAGGUGCCGACCAAGGGCUGGAAUUGCUGACCUCCCUGAAAGAGCAGCCCGCAGCCCUGGCCUCCGGGGUGAGCUCCCCUCGUGGGAGGGCCCGGCCGAGGUAAGAGACUCGCUCCGAGUCACAGAGCGCUGGCCCAGCCCAUCGCUCGCAGCAGGGGACGUGGUGGUUUCUAGGAAGGCCCUUCCCAGAAGGGAGAUGACUCAGGCUGGUCCCAGCUCCUCCUGAAGACCGGACAGACAAGGGGAGGAGCUAGGAGGUGUUCCGGGGUCACCUGGGCCAGGCCCUGCCUCCAGGGGCCAGAGGUGCAUUUUAUCCCAUCGGCCAGCAGAGAGCAUGGGGCAGGUUGAACCGAAUCCCUUCCCUCUGUGGAACCAUCAGUUUCCAAACGACAGACUACUUCUGCCCACACCUGGAAGGGCCAGGGACACAAGACACGUCGGCUUCUCCGCUAAGACUUUCCAUCCGAUGAAGAGCGGGUCAGGAGAGUUCGAUCCCUGGCCUCGCUCAGUGGGUUAAGGAUCCGGCGUUGUCGUGAGCUGUGGUAUAGGUCGCAGACGUGGCUUGGAUCUGGCGUGGCUCUGCUGGCCUACAACGCAGACACAGAGACACCAGAUCUGAGCCACGUCUGUGACCUACACCACAGCUCACGGCAACGCCGGAUUUUUAACCCACUGAGCGAGGCCAGGGAUCGAACCUGCAAACUCAUGGUUCCUCAUCGGAUUCGUUUCCGCUGCACCACAACGGGAACUCCAUGUUUUCCCCCUCUCUUAAGGAUCUCGUUUAUGAAAGUGAACAGGGAAUUCGUCCUGCUGCUUUUUGCAAGAUGGCUGUGAAAUAUGCGCCUCUCCUGUCACACUCUUUGUGUUCUAGAAUAUGUGGGAAGGGUGAAUUUGCUGUCUCCCUCCUACAUGCCAGGUGCCUUCCCCUGCAUCUUCUUGGUUUACCUGUGUGCACAUAUCCUCACCUGUAUCCAGCUGUAUCCACAGGUGCAUUCAGUGACUUAUCCAAGGUCACCUCGUGAGUGGAGGGCAGACCUUGGUUGUUCACAAGGUCUCUUCUCUCCUACACUCUCCCCAAAGUUGAGGCUUCACCUCUGCCUUUUGCAUCAUGUCAAGGGCCGAAAGGCACCCCCUGCCUGACCUUUUGGCCUGGGAUACGGAAGUUCGUUGACUCUUGCCUGGCAGGGCCGGGAGCUGGCCCUCUUUCCCAAUCAAUGUGUAUCAUUUCGGCAAGACACCGAGUCCGCUGCUGGAGAGAUUGAUCCUCUCGUUAUUUAUCUUCCCCCGCCUGGUGUAAAUUGGUCAGCCUGAUCCUGUCCGCAUGAUAAAAAUCAUAAUGUCUCAAAUUACUUACUCAAUAAAAUGUGGGUUUGUCUAUUAUUAGUGAUCAUUAGGGUUAUAAUGCAGCAUGGAAAUUUGGAGCAAAUUAACUACAUAUGCAAGCUCAUGUGCAGUUAAUCAUACACACACAGUUCCAGUGGGCAGAAGGUUUUGCAAGAAUUGUUUCAGGAAGAAUUGCUGGGAGGGGAGUUCAGUACCCAAGUUAUUAUUUUUUCAUCUCCUGUUCCCUCUUAAUCUGGAUUUCUCAAAAGCACAUUUAUCUCAUACAACAUCGAAUCCUGCAAGUACAAAAAAAAAAAAAAAA